UAUCAUAAAUAAAAUAAGAUUACUAAAUUAAACAAAAAAAGAUAGUAAGCAGAAGCUUUAAAGAUAGAACAAUAAAACUUGGCUCUGAUUUUGAGUAUGGCGUGCACUAAGGGAUACACAUGGUUUUUAUUGAAAGGGGUGAGGUGGAAGAUUAAAGUUAAAUUAACGCAAAGUUGACUUAAUUAGGUCUUCUAGGAUGUUAUAGAAAACAUGAUGUCCUGAAAUUCCCACUAACACCAGUGUUGGAGAUUAAAAAAGAGCGGAAGCUCGUAUUAGUUUAGUGAAUAAAAUUUGGUUAAUUUGGUGCCAGCAUCCGCGGUUAAACCAAGAAAUUUAGUCAUUCUUUUUCGGUAAAAAGACAGUUAGGCAGAAAAGAGAUCAUUAGACCUUUAAUAUAGGGGUAAAAUCUAUAUACUAAAAGUUAUUUUAAUUGUGGUUAUAUUAUAGAUGCUGAAUCUGUGACAACUUUAAGGGAAACUGGGAUUGGAUACCCCACUAUUUCUAGUAGUAAAUUUAAUUUAGGUUUACCAGAGUACUACGAAUAAAAAGUUUAAAACUCAAAGAGCUUGGCGGUGUUUUAGACCUCUCAGGGGAACCUGUCUCAUAAUCGACAAUCCACGUUAGACCUGACCCUUUAUGGCAAUUCAGCCUGUAUACCGUCGUCGUCAGGUAACUUCUUAAAAUAUAGUAGUUAGCCCGAUAAUUUUAUUAAUUAAUACGUCAGAUCAAGGUGCAGCUAAUAAAAGGGAGAGGAUGGGUUACAAUUAUAGAUUUAUAAUUACGAAGGAUAUUUAGAAAUAAAAUAUUUAAAGGAGGACUUGAAAGUAAUUUUGAUUAUAUAAGUAAAAUGAAUAAGGCUCUGAAACGUGCACACAUCGCCCGUCGCUCUCGUUGAAAAAUGAGAUAAGUCGUAACAUAGUAGGGGUAAUGGAAAUUGUUCCUAAGCUG
RNAcentral lists this non-coding RNA (948 nucleotides) under Conus tabidus. RNAcentral's name for it is "12S ribosomal RNA". The stretch from base 167 to 944 matches the Rfam family "Microsporidia small subunit ribosomal RNA". Lineage: Eukaryota; Metazoa; Mollusca; Gastropoda; Neogastropoda; Conidae. The record is from RNAcentral.